RNAcentral lists this ribosomal RNA (590 nucleotides) under uncultured Burkholderia sp. Its description in RNAcentral is "bacterial SSU rRNA". It matches the Rfam family "Bacterial small subunit ribosomal RNA", at positions 418 to 1003 of the family's 1533-position model. Lineage: Bacteria; Pseudomonadati; Pseudomonadota; Betaproteobacteria; Burkholderiales; Burkholderiaceae. The record is from RNAcentral.
UCGGGUUGUAAAGCACUUUUGUCCGGAAAGAAAACCUCUUGGAUAAUACCUGAGGGGGAUGACGGUACCGGAAGAAUAAGCACCGGCUAACUACGUGCCAGCAGCGCGGUAAUCGUAGGGUGCGAGCGUUAAUCGGAAUUACUGGGCGUAAAGCGUGCGCAGGCGGUUUGUUAAGACAGAUGUGAAAUCCCCGGGCUUAACCUGGGAACUGCAUUUGUGACUGGCAAGCUAGAGUAUGGCAGAGGGGGGUAGAAUUCCACGUGUAGCAGUGAAAUGCGUAGAGAUGUGGAGGAAUACCGAUGGCGAAGGCAGCCCCCUGGGCCAAUACUGACGCUCAUGCACGAAAGCGUGGGGAGCAAACAGGAUUAGAUACCCUGGUAGUCCACGCCCUAAACGAUGUCAACUAGUUGUUGGGGAUUCAUUUCCUUAGUAACGUAGCUAACGCGUGAAGUUGACCGCCUGGGGAGUACGGUCGCAAGAUUAAAACUCAAAGGAAUUGACGGGGACCCGCACAAGCGGUGGAUGAUGUGGAUUAAUUCGAUGCAACGCGAAAAACCUUACCUACCCUUGACAUGGUCGGAACCCUGCUG